GCAGUCGCCGCGGUAAUACGGAGGGGGCUAGCGUUGUUCGGAAUUACUGGGCGUAAAGCGCACAUAGGCGGCUUUGUAAGUUAGAGGUGAAAGCCCGGGGCUCAACCCCGGAAUAGCCUUUAAGACUGCAUCGCUUGAACGUCGGAGAGGUGAGUGGAAUUCCGAGUGUAGAGGUGAAAUUCGUAGAUAUUCGGAAGAACACCAGUGGCGAAGGCGGCUCACUGGACGACUGUUGACGCUGAGGUGCGAAAGCGUGGGGAGCAAACAGGAUUAGAUACCCCAGUAGUCCCUGUCUCUUAUAC
This 302-nucleotide ribosomal RNA is filed under the name uncultured bacterium. Its description in RNAcentral is "partial 16S ribosomal RNA". It matches the Rfam family "Bacterial small subunit ribosomal RNA", at positions 508 to 807 of the family's 1533-position model. The record is from RNAcentral.